RNAcentral lists this ribosomal RNA (460 nucleotides) under Burkholderia sp. KS1. RNAcentral's name for it is "bacterial SSU rRNA". It matches the Rfam family "Bacterial small subunit ribosomal RNA", at positions 30 to 481 of the family's 1533-position model. Lineage: Bacteria; Pseudomonadati; Pseudomonadota; Betaproteobacteria; Burkholderiales; Burkholderiaceae. The record is from RNAcentral.
AUUGAACGCUGGCGGCAUGCCUUACACAUGCAAGUCGAACGGCAGCACGGGUGCUUGCACCUGGUGGCGAGUGGCGAACGGGUGAGUAAUACAUCGGAACAUGUCCUGUAGUGGGGGAUAGCCCGGCGAAAGCCGGAUUAAUACCGCAUACGAUCUACGGAUGAAAGCGGGGGACCUUCGGGCCUCGCGCUAUAGGGUUGGCCGAUGGCUGAUUAGCUAGUUGGUGGGGUAAAGGCCUACCAAGGCGACGAUCAGUAGCUGGUCUGAGAGGACGACCAGCCACACUGGGACUGAGACACGGCCCAGACUCCUACGGGAGGCAGCAGUGGGGAAUUUUGGACAAUGGGCGAAAGCCUGAUCCAGCAAUGCCGCGUGUGUGAAGAAGGCCUUCGGGUUGUAAAGCACUUUUGUCCGGAAAGAAAUCCUUGGUUCUAAUAUAGCCGGGGGAUGACGGUACCGG